Molecule: ribosomal RNA, 253 nt
Filed under: uncultured bacterium
Lineage: Bacteria
Description: partial 16S ribosomal RNA
Rfam family: Bacterial small subunit ribosomal RNA
Source: RNAcentral
GACGAAGGAUGCAAGCGUUAUCCGGAUUCAUUGGGUUUAAAGGGCGCGUAGGUGGCCUUAUAAGUCAGUGGUGAAAUCUCUGGGCUUAACCCAGAAAUUGCCAUUGAUACUGUAGGGCUUGAGUAUAGAUGCCGUUGGCGGAAUAUGACAUGUAGUGGUGAAAUACAUAGAGAUGUCAUAGAACACCGACUGCGAAGGCAGCUAACGAAACUAUAACUGACACUGAGGCUCGAAAGUGUGGGGAUCAAACAGG